GACGAACGCUGGCGGCGUGCCUAAUACAUGCAAGUAGAACUCACAGUUUAUACCGUAGCUUGCUACACCAUAGACUGUGAGUUGCGAACGGGUGAGUAACGCGUAGGUAACCUGCCUGGUAGCGGGGGAUAACUAUUGGAAACGAUAGCUAAUACCGCAUAAUAUUAAUUAUUGCAUGAUAAUUAAUUGAAAGGUGCAAUUGCACCACUACCAGAUGGACCUGCGUUGUAUUAGCUAGUAGGUGAGGUAACGGCUCACCUAGGCGACGAUACAUAGCCGACCUGAGAGGGUGAUCGGCCACACUGGGACUGAGACACGGCCCAGACUCCUACGGGAGGCAGCAGUAGGGAAUCUUCGGCAAUGGACGAAAGUCUGACCGAGCAACGCCGCGUGAGUGAAGAAGGUUUUCGGAUCGUAAAGCUCUGUUGUAAGAGAAGAACGGGUGUGAGAGUGGAAAGUUCACACUGUGACGGUAUCUUACCAGAAAGGGACGGCUAACUACGUG
RNAcentral lists this ribosomal RNA (505 nucleotides) under uncultured bacterium. RNAcentral describes it as "partial 16S ribosomal RNA". It matches the Rfam family "Bacterial small subunit ribosomal RNA", at positions 28 to 507 of the family's 1533-position model. The record is from RNAcentral.